AUGUCGUAUUUCUUCCAAAAUUCAGCUACAGAAAAUGCACAAUCUCCAACUGUAGCACCAACAACCUGUCUGAAAGUCCGUGUAAGAAACGGAGAUCCUGCUGGCGAGUCCAGAAAUCCAGCACUGGGGAAAACUGAAAGGUUGGACGUGACCUCUCUUUCCUCUUCAUUCAGGACAAAGGCUUCAAGAACAUUUCAAGACACUCUCUAGGGGCAACUGUACAGUGACGGAUGUUAACUAGACUUCUUGCGGUGAUCAUUUUGCGAUACACACAGAUACUGAAUCAUUACGUUGUAUGCCUGAAGCUAACAUCAUGAUACAAUCACUUCUAAAUUUUAAAAGUUAAUUUUUUUAAGAAAAAAGAAAAACUUUUCAAUUUAUUUGUUUGUUUGUUUGUUUUAAGUAGGCUACACACACAGCACGGAGCCCAGCGCGGGGCUUGAACUCACAAUCCUGAGAUCAAGACUGAGCUGAGAUCAAAAGUUGGACGCUUAAGUGACUGAGUCACCCAGGUGCCCCUAAAAAAGAAAUUCUUGUCAUUGCAGUUCAGUGCCACAAAACCAAGAGCCCAGCUCAAAUGAGAAAAAUUUUUAAAUGUGUUUCCU
This 605-nucleotide long non-coding RNA is filed under the name Mustela putorius furo (domestic ferret). RNAcentral's name for it is "lncRNA (ENSMPUG00000025710.1)". Lineage: Eukaryota; Metazoa; Chordata; Mammalia; Carnivora; Mustelidae. The record is from RNAcentral.